CUCCAUUCAAAAACUUUGGUAAGAUAUAUGUGUUGACGUCAAAAAUAGGGCUAAAAGAUUUGUCUGGUUUUUACACUAGAAAAAGGCAAGAAUACACUCCUUCCUGUUUCUUUGGAACUUUUUCUAUCACUCUUUUUUUUUUUAAAGGGUAAUCUAUGCUGCUACAAGAGCAUCUGAUUUAAUUUUUUUAAUGGUAUGACGACACCUUAUACUCAGAAAGUUAUUUUGUAACCCUCUGCAGUUGUAUUUAAUAUCCGUGUGUUUGAAGAGGUUUCUCUCCAUCUCUGUACAAAAAAAAAAAAAAAAUAAUAAAUCUUACACCACCAACCCACUCUUCUGGCAAUAUCAUCUCCUGUUCUUGUCUUGCUCAUUAGUAGCAUCUCUUUUGUUAUCUCUCAAUGGCUUAUGAAAUUUGCAAUAUUUAUCUUGGAAGCGUACAUAUCUUUGACCUUGGAGCUGAAACGUAUGGCCAAUUCCUCCAGACAUAUUAUAGCCUUGUGGAAGGGCAUUUUAACUGCCAUUUGUUUUAUCUCCUCUGGAGAAGCAAGCCGCUUCUUCGCACAAUGCAGAUUUGGAUGCUGUGAGCGCUGUCCAUGUUCUAAAACCACAAUGCCCUCCUUGACCCAGAUAAGCCCGUAAUGCGAGCUGAAAGCUUUACCUUUCUUCAGUCAUAUCAAGCAGAAAUUCGUUGGAUAAUUUUAUAAGAUUAAAACAAAGGUGACAGGUCUUUUUCUGUGUUAUCCACCACAAGUUCUUCUAAGGAUUGUAGCCACAGGUUUUGUGCUUUCACCACUGAUGCACCUGAAAUAGCAGCUUUGCACUGGUAGCCUGCAGCUUGAUAUACCCGUCUGUUUGAAGUUUCUGCACGCUUGUCCAUAGGCUCUUUGAGGCCAGAAGUUAUUGAACUAGUUUAGAUUUAAAUGCCUGACACUUUUUCUAUUCCCUCUGGAGCAGCUCCAGAAGUCAUUUUAUCAUGCUGUUCUUGACUUUUAACAGCCCUUCUGUCUUUCUUCCUAGUAUUUUUAAAUGAUUCAAAUGUCUGAUAAGUUGCCCUGGAUGAGGGACUGCACGUUCAAUACAGCAUAAAUGCUUGGCUUUUCAUAUAGCCUUUCUGUCCGCAGGAGCUGACAUUUUAUCCUUUUCUGCUUUAUCCAGAG
Molecule: non-coding RNA, 1157 nt
Organism: Pelobates cultripes (western spadefoot toad)
Lineage: Eukaryota; Metazoa; Chordata; Amphibia; Anura; Pelobatidae
Source: the annotation of a GenBank genome assembly